RNAcentral lists this ribosomal RNA (133 nucleotides) under uncultured bacterium. RNAcentral's name for it is "partial 16S ribosomal RNA". The record is from RNAcentral.
GGUACCGUCAGGCCUAACGUGUAUUAUACGUUAGGAGGUUCUUCCCCUCUGACAGAGCUUUACGACCCAAGAGCCUUCAUCACUCACGCGGUAUUGCUGCGUCAGGCCUUCGCCCAUUGCGCAAAAUUCCCCA